RNAcentral lists this long non-coding RNA (315 nucleotides) under Capsicum annuum. RNAcentral's name for it is "long non-coding RNA (CANN_LNC000364)". Lineage: Eukaryota; Viridiplantae; Streptophyta; Magnoliopsida; Solanales; Solanaceae. The record is from RNAcentral.
UUGUUCUCAGACCGGGAAUCCUAUCUUCCGGUAUGACUGGGGUCGAAAGCCCUACAUUCUGUUUCAAUUCGGAUGGGCUUCCCCUAUUGUCUGGCCUUAACCAUUGCAUUGGCUGUGAAGGCCUUCAUUACUGGGUGAGUCGAAUCCCAGAUGAUGCCUUGUUCGGGCUCAUUCGUCCUCUCCUCCCCACUUUGAUGGAAUCAUUUUUUUGCCGCAUGGGGAGGUUUGUAGUCGUUUCACUCCUUUAGUCGAUAUGAAGUUCGUUUCACUACGUAUAGAAUACGAACUAUCCGAACAAAGACCGGCUUCUUGCCG